UCCAAGACUAGACUCACGUCCUGAGAACUGCUGUCCUGGUGUGCUCGAGGUCUCGGAGAGAAUCUGCUGGUCUCGACUCACUGGCAAGGGCAGUCAGUGCCCCUGGUAGUGCCCAGAUCAGGAGCACAC
Molossus molossus (Pallas's mastiff bat) is the source of this 129-nucleotide small nucleolar RNA. RefSeq annotates it as small nucleolar RNA SNORA3/SNORA45 family. The transcript has a single exon. The record is from RefSeq and is a predicted model, not a curated record. NCBI's taxonomy places the organism in Eukaryota, Metazoa, Chordata, Mammalia, Chiroptera, Molossidae.